Molecule: long non-coding RNA, 3423 nt
Organism: Hydra vulgaris (swiftwater hydra)
Lineage: Eukaryota; Metazoa; Cnidaria; Hydrozoa; Anthoathecata; Hydridae
Source: RefSeq, a predicted model, not a curated record
AAUAAUUGUUUAAAAAAAUGUUUGCCAAAAUGCAGCAAACUUUUUUAACACUUUGAACAAGCAAUUGAAAUUUACUAUUGCAGUUAAUAAAAAUGUCAAUUAAUCCUUUCUUGCACAGCAAUGGUGAAACUUUAUUCACAAGUGUCACUUCAAAUAUAAAAAAACAAUAAAAAACAAAGUAGACUAAAUUGUCAGAAGGUUCUCUUAGUCUUCCCCUAUUCAAAGAAAUGAUCAAAGUUCCAUAUUUUUGAAACAUAAUCAAAGCUGUCUGUUUCUUCUAAAAUUGAAUGUAAUUCUGGAAGUUUGUAAGCAAUAAAACCUGCAAUAUAUAAAAGUCCUUGAUUGCAUUCAUUUGGCAACUAAUCCUCACAAUUUUCACAUAUUGACAUAAUAAACUCCACAUCAAGUUCACACUUAUCACAGUGGUGGUGAGCAGGAGGAAAUAUUGUAAAAUCUGUAUGCAUGCUAGCAACUUUCUAGUUUUGUCGAUUCUAAAUUUUUGAAUAACAUUUUGCACCGUUAUCAGAUAUGUGCCACCUGACCCUUGCCGAUAUUUCCUAAACUGUUUUUCUAGUGCAUCUGAUUGCAUAUGUCCUAACAAUACAUAAGAUACACUGCAAUUCAACAAAUACUUGGAGCAGCUUGCUAAUCUUUUAGAAGUUUUUUGCAAAGCACUUGCAGUAUCCAUUGUUAACUUUUUCUCUCUUAAUUUUGAACUUACGCAUUUCAAAUUUUCAGCAAAAUACGAAAUAUAGUUCUCUAAGAAAUCUAUUUGCCAAUCAUUAACUGAAACAUUGUAAUUUUUCAGUGAUCCAAUUAUUUCCAAUACAUUUUAAAAUAUGCACAGUGUCAUUUAAAAGAUAGUAUGCUGGAACUUUUUUUGCAUUAAAAUAUUGAAAUGUUUUUUGGUUUACUUGACAGUUAUCCAUUAUUAACCCAAGAGGCUUUCCACCUGCAAUUAUGAUUUGUUGAUUUAAUUCUUCUAUCACGCUUGUUUGAAAAUUUGUUGUAACUUUACAAACUGGAAAAACUUUUAUAACAAGUCGUGGGCCACCAAAAAGACAAAGGAGCAUAGUGCUAAUGGUGUAUUGUUUGUUUUAUUUAAUAAAGCUACUUGAUGCCUAAUAUAACUUGCUCACUUAGAAUCUGUUUCAUUAUUAAUAACAUAACUAACAGCAUUCUCCAGUUGAGAAUAAUAUUUAAUAACUCCUUUGUUUAAAAAAGACAGUUUAAUUUGUAAAAGUUGGCUAUAUCCAGUAAAAUAAAUAUCUCCAUAAUCUUCUGAAGUUAUAUAUAUUGAAAACUUAGGUACUAUUCCACAACGUUCAUAUGAUAUUAAAGAUAUAUAUUUUUCUUCUUCAACAAAAUAAAAUUUUUCUUCACAGUAAUUUAUUAUUGACUUCAAAUUUUUUACAGUUGUAUUAAAUUGAAUAACGUCCAUUUUUUGAAGUUUUCGAACUCAUCAGGUAAAUUAUUUCUUUCAGAGCAUAUCAACCCAGUCAUAUCAACCCAGUGACAUCUCGUUUUCUAGACACUAUUGGAAUACAAGACACUGGUAUACCUUUAAAGACUGAUGGAGGAUGCACUGGAACAAAACUACCACCUUUUUUUUAGGCCAGUGCUGAGCACAAAUUCGUCUAAAAUCUGUAAACACAAAGUUUGCAUUUGGAAGUUUUUUAAUCCAUAACUCGCGAUCCUCGGAUUUAAAGGAGAAUCUAUACAUUGUGACAUAAACAUUAUCUUUUACUUUUGUUUGUAAUUUGAGGAGCAACCAUAAACGCAGCAUUUAUUAGGCAUUUUACAAGUUUAACUAUUAUAGUUUAAAUUAAACAACCAAAAUCCUCAUUGAAACUAUACUUCUCCGUAAAAAAAUCGGCCUUCGCUAAUUUUAAUGAGCUGUCGCGGCCUGUUUAAGAAGGCCUUGCCGGUAAUAUAUAUACAGCCAGUCCGCCACUGUCGUCGUCAUCAUGUCUACGAAUUACAUAUAAAGCACUUUUCAAGUGUUUUUACUGGAGGUAAAACAAGUGGACCAAAGACUGAGUCAUUUGAAAGGCUAAAGUGUAAUUGGAAAUCGAUUCUUGAAAAGAAGUUAAAUUAUGAUAACCUAAAGAGAUUUGACUCAGAAAAAAAAAAAAAAAUCUUUUUUGGAAAAGCAGGCUUCUGAAUCAUUAACAUUCCUUCAAAAUUGCCUCGAUAAUGAUAUAUUUCCAAGAAAUUACUACAAGUAUUUUAUACAGUUAGCAGUUCUUUGGUUAGGUGGCAAAGUAAAAGAUUUUCACUUUAGAUUUCCAAUGGCUUCACAUCGUGCCAGGUUUAUGGCACAGGGCGUUUAUAAUUUAACAUACGACAUUCUACAGCCACAAUUCAGUAACUUAUGUCCUGAUAUAAUACCAUUACAAGAUGAAAAGAUGAUUCAUGAAAUUGGUUCAUUUACAGCACUAUUUUAUGUUCCAUGGUUUAUUAAAACUCCUAUCCCUGCCAUAGCACCUUCUUUAGAUCUAAAAGCCAUUAAUGAAAUAAUACAAUAUUCUGAAUUAUGUCUUAAACCAGCAGAGGUCGUACUAAAGUCACUUGAAAAACACAAUUGGUAUUUAAAUGAAAGAUUUGUGGUUAUGUGUCUUGCUGAUAAAUGCUUACCUGUAGAUCAGCUACAUAAAUUAGCUCUUAAAUUAGCUCAAACAGCAAAGCCUACCAGUUAUAAAAUGGGAAAACUAAGUUCAGAAAUUUUUACUGACAAUGAAAAAAAAAAUAACAAAAAGAAUUAAAGAUUUUAUUGGUCCUGAAAGCUGGUUUUUCUUUGAAUUACUUAAAAUGACAUUACUUGAGACAGAAUAGCUGAAAAUCAGUUCAUCAAACUGGGAAACAUGUUCAGGUUAUAUAAGAUUUAAAAAUCAUAUCACUGGUCUUCUUGUUGUAAAUGACAGUGCAGAACAUGCAAUUAAACUUGGUCAAGACUUUAUUGAAACUUUCCGAAAUGAAGAAGAUAACCAAGCUAAUUUACUGGUUGUUGCAGAUCAUCGUCUAAAAUUUCAGACAACAGAAAAAAAAUCUUGGUCGAAAGCUUUAAAAUAACUUUUCUUUAAAAAAUAAAUACAAAUGUAAAAAAAAAUUUUAUUUAAAAUUGUAAAAAAAAAUUUAACUCCCCCCCCCCACAUACACAGCAUGUCUUUAAAUGGGUAGGGCUGACCAUUUCAUUUCAUUUUUUAUAAAACAAAAUAUAAUCUUAAAUAAGAUUUAUCUGGCUACAAAAAUAAUCUUAAAGAUAUCUUUGAAAUGUUUGUAAGUGACCCAGCCCCCCUCAUUAUUUACAAAAAGUAGAAAUUUUCAAAAUUUCGGACUGCUGGGACCAACCAUAGGAGUACCCAUAAAAAAUAUAUAUAUAUAUAUUUUUAAUACAGAUAUCAAAAGAAACCAGAAAAACUA